Molecule: ribosomal RNA, 693 nt
Filed under: Mucor hiemalis f. silvaticus
Lineage: Eukaryota; Fungi; Mucoromycota; Mucoromycetes; Mucorales; Mucoraceae
Description: partial large subunit ribosomal RNA
Rfam family: Eukaryotic large subunit ribosomal RNA
Source: RNAcentral
GCGGAGGAAAAGAAAAUAACAAUGAUUUCCCUAGUAACGGCGAGUGAAGAGGAAAGAGCUCAAAGUUGGAACCUGUUUGGCUUAGCUAAACCGGAUUGUAAACUGUAGAAGUGUUUUCCAGACACGCCUGGUAAAAAAGUCCUUUGGAACAGGGCAUCAUAGAGGGUGAGAAUCCCGUCUUUGGCCAGAGCUGUUGUCUUUUGUGAUACAUUUUCAAAGAGUCAGGUUGUUUGGGAAUGCAGCCUAAAUUGGGUGGUAAAUCUCACCUAAAGCUAAAUAUUUGCGAGAGACCGAUAGCGAACAAGUACCGUGAGGGAAAGAUGAAAAGAACUUUGAAAAGAGAGUUAAACAGUAUGUGAAAUUGUUAAAAGGGAACCGUUUGGAGCCAGACUGGCUUGAUCGUAAUCAAUCUAGGCUUCGGCCUGGAUGCACUUGCGGUCUAUGCCUGCCAACGACAGUUUUAUUUGGGGGAAAAAAUUAUUAGGAAUGUGGCCCUUCGGGGUGUUAUAGCCUUUUAAAAAAUACCCUGGAUUGGACUGAGGAACGCAGUGAAUGCCUUUAGGCAAGAUUGCUGGGCGCUUUCGUUAAUACAUGCUAGAAUUUCUGCUUUGGGUGGUGCUAGUGUGUAGCGAUGGAACUCGCUUGGUAUAUUUUUUAUUCGCUUAGGUUGUUGGCUUAAUGACUCUAAAUGAC